Molecule: ribosomal RNA, 367 nt
Filed under: uncultured bacterium
Lineage: Bacteria
Description: bacterial SSU rRNA
Rfam family: Bacterial small subunit ribosomal RNA
Source: RNAcentral
AAUGAACGCUGGCGGCAGGCCUAAAACAUGCAAGUCGAACGCUGUAGCAAUACAGAGUGGCGCACGGGUGAGUAACAUGUGGGAAUAUGCCUUUUGGUACGGAACAACGUUUGGAAACGAACGCUAAUGCCGUAUGGUCCCUUCGGGGUAAAGAUUUAUCGCCAAAAGAUUAGCCCGCACUGGAUUAGCUAGUUGGUAGGGUAAUGGCCUACCAAGGCGACGAUCCAUAGCUGGCUGAGAGGACGAUCAGCCACACUGGGACUGAGACACGGCCCAGACUCCUACGGGAGGCAGCAGUUAGGAAUAUUGGACAAUGGGCGCAAGCCUGAUCCAGCCAUGCCGCGUGAGUGAUGAAGGCCUUCGGUUG